UCUCUACAAUAUCCCAAAUAUCAUGUGCACCUAGGAGAGCCUUCAUCUUGAUACUCCAAUUACCAUAGUUGCUCUUGUUGAGCAUAGGAACUUGUAAGGAUGCAACACCAUUUGCCCAUGAUUUUAGAAAAUUUUGGUUAGAAUCUUGUGGCUCUGAUACCACUUUGUUGGAAGAGGAUUGCUAUUAAUAUUUGAAGGGAGGUUAUUAGGCUAAGGGAAUUUUGGAAGAGUAGAAAGAUUUUGGAGAAGAGAAACUUUUAUUACUCAAACUUGUUUUUGAUUUUUUUU
This 288-nucleotide long non-coding RNA is filed under the name Nicotiana benthamiana. RNAcentral's name for it is "long non-coding RNA (NBEN_LNC036092)". The record is from RNAcentral. Lineage: Eukaryota; Viridiplantae; Streptophyta; Magnoliopsida; Solanales; Solanaceae.